Molecule: ribosomal RNA, 253 nt
Filed under: uncultured bacterium
Lineage: Bacteria
Description: partial 16S ribosomal RNA
Rfam family: Bacterial small subunit ribosomal RNA
Source: RNAcentral
UACGUAGGGGGCAAGCGUUGUCCGGAUUCAUUGGGCGUAAAGAGCGUGUAGGCGGCCAGGUAGGUCGGUUGUGAAAACUGGAGGCUCAACCUUCAGAGGUCGACCGAAACCAUCUGGCUAGAGUCCGGGAGAGGAGAGUGGAAUUCCUGGUGUAGCGGUGAAAUGCGCAGAUAUCAGGAAGAACACACGUGGCGAAAGCGGCUCUCUGGAACGGUACUGACGCUGAGACGCGAAAGCGUGGGGAGCGAACAGG